UGGGGAAUCUUGCACAAUGGGCGCAAGCCUGAUGCAGCCAUGCCGCGUGUAUGAAGAAGGCCUUCGGGUUGUAAAGUACUUUCAGCGGGGAGGAAGGGAGUAAAGUUAAUACCUUUGCUCAUUGACGUUACCCGCAGAAGAAGCACCGGCUAACUCCGUGCCAGCAGCCGCGGUAAUACGGAGGGUGCAAGCGUUAAUCGGAAUUACUGGGCGUAAAGCGCACGCAGGCGGUUUGUUAAGUCAGAUGUGAAAUCCCCGGGCUCAACCUGGGAACUGCAUCUGAUACUGGCAAGCUUGAGUCUCGUAGAGGGGGGUAGAAUUCCAGGUGUAGCGGUGAAAUGCGUAGAGAUCUGGAGGAAUACCGGUGGCGAAGGCAGCCCCCUGGACGAAGACAGACGCUCUGGUACGAAAGCGUGGGGAGCAAACAGG
This 429-nucleotide ribosomal RNA is filed under the name Chloroflexota bacterium. RNAcentral describes it as "Chloroflexi bacterium partial 16S ribosomal RNA". It matches the Rfam family "Bacterial small subunit ribosomal RNA", at positions 355 to 776 of the family's 1533-position model. Lineage: Bacteria; Bacillati; Chloroflexota. The record is from RNAcentral.